UACAGAGACUGCAAGCGUUAUUCGGAUUCACUGGGCGUAAAGGGUGCGCAGGUGGUCGUGUGUGUCAGAUGUGAAAUCCCCGGGCUUAACCUGGGAACCGCAUUUGUGACUGCAUAGCUGGAGUACGGCAGAGGGGGAUGGAAUUCCGCGUGUAGCAGUGAAAUGCGUAGAUAUGCGGAGGAACACCGAUGGCGAAGGCAGUCCCCUGGGCCUGUACUGACGCUCAUGCACGAAAGCGUGGGGAGCAAACAGG
This 253-nucleotide ribosomal RNA is filed under the name uncultured bacterium. Its description in RNAcentral is "partial 16S ribosomal RNA". It matches the Rfam family "Bacterial small subunit ribosomal RNA", at positions 524 to 776 of the family's 1533-position model. The record is from RNAcentral.